CUCCAGACUCCUACGGGAGGCAGCAGUGGGGAAUAUUGCACAAUGGGGGAAACCCUGAUGCAGCGACGCCGCGUGAGUGAAGAAGUAUUUCGGUAUGUAAAGCCCUAUCAGCAGGAAAGAAAAUGACGGUACCUGACUAAGAAGCCCCGGCUAACUACGUGCCAGCAGCCGCGGUAAUACGUAGGGGGCAAGCGUUAUCCGGAUUUACUGGGUGUAAAGGGGGCGCAGACGGCAGCGCAAGCCAGGAGUGAAAGCCCGGGGCCCAACCCCGGGACUGCUCUUGGAACUGCGCGGCUGGAGUGCAGGAGGGGCAGGCGGAAUUCCUGGUGUAGCGGUGAAAUGCGUAGAUAUCAGGAGGAACACCGGUGGCGAAGGCGGCCUGCUGGACUGCGACUGACGUUGAGGCCCGAAAGCGUGGGGAGCAAACAGGAUUAGAUCCCCCAGUA
Molecule: ribosomal RNA, 446 nt
Filed under: uncultured bacterium
Lineage: Bacteria
Description: partial 16S ribosomal RNA
Rfam family: Bacterial small subunit ribosomal RNA
Source: RNAcentral